GCAAUGCCCAGAGAGGCUGAUGGGAACAGUGGCAAGCUCUGCCUUUGCUUACGUCAAAUGAAAGAAAGAGCCGUUAGUCCGUCUAGAACGAAACCGCACUCCCUGGCUUGAACAUGGUCGCAUGCGGUUGGACACAUGGAGGAGAGAAUCAUUUUCGCAGUAUCCUCAAAACCGUGUCUUUUUGACACAACUGCUGACAGCUACAGGGAUAUAAACACAAAAAAUGCUGCUUGGAGACAAGUGUCCACGAUAGUAGGAUUGCCAGAAAUGGAAUCAAUUUAGCCAAUCAGCUCACAGGAAGGAGAGGAAGAGGAGAGGAGUUGUCUGGUUGUUGUUUUGACCUCCCUCAUUGUACCUUUCUUUUCACACAUGUCAGUUCCAUUUAAAUUCAGUCAAUUCAUAAAGUAAUUUGUUUAUAAAGUCUUAGGAUAGCAUCCAUUAUUAGUGUUACAUAGAUUUCUGAAUUGACAGAAUUGAAACUCAUACACCGGAGAAUUGAGAUGCUCUUGUUGGUCUCUUACAAGACUAAAGGUCAAUUUACACUGCUCAAAAAAAUAAAGGGAACACUUAAACAACACAAUGUAACUCCAAGUCAAUCACACUUCUGUGAAAUCAAACUGUCCACUUAGGAAGCAACACUGAUUGACAAUAAAUGUCACAUGCUGUUGUGCAAAUGGAAUAGACAACAGGUGGAAAUUAUAGGCAAUUAGCAAGACAC
Molecule: long non-coding RNA, 718 nt
Filed under: Salmo salar (Atlantic salmon)
Lineage: Eukaryota; Metazoa; Chordata; Actinopteri; Salmoniformes; Salmonidae
Description: lncRNA (ENSSSAG00000088637.1)
Source: RNAcentral